This is an unclassified non-coding RNA of Pongo abelii (Sumatran orangutan), 117 nucleotides long. It matches the Rfam family "Metazoan signal recognition particle RNA". From Rfam's summary of the family: The signal recognition particle (SRP) is a universally conserved ribonucleoprotein. It is involved in the co-translational targeting of proteins to membranes. The record is from Ensembl. NCBI's taxonomy places the organism in Eukaryota, Metazoa, Chordata, Mammalia, Primates, Hominidae.
GCUGGGCGUGGUGGCUCAUGCCUGUAAUCCCAGCACUUUGGGAGGCUGAGGCAGGUGGAUCACUUGAGGUCAGGAGUUUGAGACCAGCCUGGCCAACAUGGUGAAACCCUGUCUCUA